Molecule: ribosomal RNA, 879 nt
Filed under: uncultured bacterium
Lineage: Bacteria
Description: bacterial SSU rRNA
Rfam family: Bacterial small subunit ribosomal RNA
Source: RNAcentral
CUAGCUACAGGCUUAACACAUGCAAGUCGAGGGGAAACGACAUCGAAAGCUUGCUUUUGAUGGGCGUCGACCGGCGCACGGGUGAGUAACGCGUAUCCAACCUGCCCACCACUUGGGGAUAACCUUGCGAAAGUAAGACUAAUACCCAAUGAUAUCUCUAGAAGACAUCUGAAAGAGAUUAAAGAUUUAUCGGUGAUGGAUGGGGAUGCGUCUGAUUAGCUUGUUGGCGGGGUAACGGCCCACCAAGGCGACGAUCAGUAGGGGUUCUGAGAGGAAGGUCCCCCACAUUGGAACUGAGACACGGUCCAAACUCCUACGGGAGGCAGCAGUGAGGAAUAUUGGUCAAUGGGCGAGAGCCUGAACCAGCCAAGUAGCGUGCAGGAUGACGGCCCUAUGGGUUGUAAACUGCUUUUAUAAGGGAAUAAAGUGAGUCUCGUGAGACUUUUUGCAUGUACCUUAUGAAUAAGGACCGGCUAAUUCCGUGCCAGCAGCCGCGGUAAUACGGAAGGUCCGGGCGUUAUCCGGAUUUAUUGGGUUUAAAGGGAGCGUAGGCCGGAGAUUAAGCGUGUUGUGAAAUGUAGAUGCUCAACAUCUGAACUGCAGCGCGAACUGGUUUCCUUGAGUACGCACAAAGUGGGCGGAAUUCGUGGUGUAGCGGUGAAAUGCUUAGAUAUCACGAAGAACUCCGAUUGCGAAGGCAGCUCACUGGAGCGCAACUGACGCUGAAGCUCGAAAGUGCGGGUAUCGAACAGGAUUAGAUACCCUGGUAGUCCGCACGGUAAACGAUGGAUGCCCGCUGUUGGUCUGAAUAGGUCAGCGGCCAAGCGAAAGCAUUAAGCAUCCCACCUGGGGAGUACGCCGGCAACGGUGAAACUCAAA